CCUACGGGCGGCAGCAGUGGGGAAUAUUGCACAAUGGGGGAAACCCUGAUGCAGCGACGCCGCGUGAGUGAAGAAGUAUUUCGGUAUGUAAAGCUCUAUCAGCAGGGAAGAACAUGACGGUACCUGAUUAAGAAGCCCCGGCUAACUACGUGCCAGCAGCCGCGGGAAUACGUAGGGGGCAAGCGUGAUCCGGAUUUACUGGGUGUAAAGGGAGCGUAGACGGCAGCACAAGUCUGGAGUGAAAUGCCGGGGCUUAACCCCGGAACUGCUUUGGAAACUGUGCAGCUAGAGUGCAGGAGAGGUAAGUGGAAUUCCUAGUGUAGCGGUGAAAUGCGUAGAUAUUAGGAGGAACAUCAGUGGCGAAGGCGGCUUACUGGACUGUAACUGACGUUGAGGCUCGAAAGCGUGGGGAGCAAACAGGAUUAGAUACCCGGGUAGUC
RNAcentral lists this ribosomal RNA (440 nucleotides) under uncultured bacterium. RNAcentral describes it as "partial 16S ribosomal RNA". It matches the Rfam family "Bacterial small subunit ribosomal RNA", at positions 338 to 795 of the family's 1533-position model. The record is from RNAcentral.